GUGAAAUAGUAUAGACGUACAAAAAAAAAAUAUUAUUUGAGUGAGAGAAUGGCGGGCUUAAAACACUUUACUUUUUAGAAUGUUGGUCCUUAUCUCAUUUAUUCGGAAUGGUGAGCCGUUAAUACAAGGAGUCUCGUCCUUUUAUUUCAUUCCGUUAGAAUGGCGGGACGGGUCUUUUCGGAUGAUCAACCACACUAGGACUGAAACACGGCCCGGACUCUCACAGGGGGCAGUAGUGGGGAAUCUUGGACAAUGGGCGAAAGCCCGAUCCAGCAAUAUCAC
Molecule: non-coding RNA, 282 nt
Filed under: Morus notabilis
Lineage: Eukaryota; Viridiplantae; Streptophyta; Magnoliopsida; Rosales; Moraceae
Description: Bacterial small subunit ribosomal RNA
Rfam family: Bacterial small subunit ribosomal RNA
Source: Rfam by way of RNAcentral